GAGAGAGAGAGAGAGAGGAGGAAAAAUAUGGGCGUAAUAAAUCCAAAUCUUUUCACAUAAGUUAAACCCACAAUCCACAGGAAUCAUCUCUAGAACUCCAAAGCUCCACUUUGUUAAUUUCUGUUAAGGAAAACAGGUUCUAAGACAAUCAAUAACAAAUGAAAAAUACUCAAAUAAUCUACUUAUAUAUCAAUUUUUUCUUUGCAUCUAUAUGAUUAAGGUACAUAUAGAUUUUAUGAGAAUUCUAAAAAGAGAAUUGAAAUUAGUUUUUUAAAAAACUAUAUCUUUAUAAUGUGCAUUAUGCUAAUGUUCAAAAUAAAUUUUGUACUCUUUAUCAGGUAUAUAGAAUGUUCUGUUCUAAUGAACUUUUGCGUAUGCUCUAGUUAUCAAAAAGUCAACAGAUAAAACCUUAUUUUAAAAAGGGUCCAAAGUGUACAAGUAAACAAAAAGUUUUAUCAUUUAUGUUGCCCAAAGUAUUAACACCCAUAACUCAAACUUGCACCCCUGCAAGCUUAAAGUUUCAUCAUUGCACCAGGCAUGGUCCCCUAAGCACACGUAAUCUGUAGGUUAAGAUAUAAAUAUUCUGUGCCUCCUCCUAUUUUUCACUUGAAAUUAUUUCUCCAUCUCUUCUCCUUGUCACCAUGUCAACAGAAAAGUGUAUCUUCCAGAGCAUGUAAAAUUCUAUUGCAUGCAGCUUUCUUUUGUAGCUCAACAUAUCUAUUUGAAAAUUCUCACUUGAACUCUCCAAGCAAAGCAAGCUAUUUGUAGGCAGACCAACAUUUUACUUCAAGAGAUACUCAGAUGCACAUAAAAGAUAUUUUCCAAAUUACCUAUGAAACGGCAUGCCAAUCUUUCAGCUAAUCCAUAUUUUCAUAUUGUAUUGUGAUGCUACUAUUACAAGGAAUGCUUACUGCGAUUUACAGUCAAACACCCAUGAGUCUUACUGCAAUCAACCAUUAUAUUCCCCCAAUAACAAUUUUUUUCCUUCUUUUACCAAAAAGUUGCACCCAAAAUAAGUGCAUUCACUAGUACAACAUUCAUGAAUCUUACUUCAUGAAAGUAUUAUUUUAAUUCCCCUAAAACACACAAACCAAUUUAUUCGCCCAAAACAAGUGUCAAACAAACAAUACUCUUUUAAGUUUCAAGAAAAAUGAACUAGAUAACCAACUGCAAGAAUAAUUCAAUUUUCAAA
RNAcentral lists this unclassified non-coding RNA (1192 nucleotides) under Hevea brasiliensis (rubber tree). The record is from RNAcentral. Lineage: Eukaryota; Viridiplantae; Streptophyta; Magnoliopsida; Malpighiales; Euphorbiaceae.